Molecule: ribosomal RNA, 494 nt
Filed under: uncultured bacterium
Lineage: Bacteria
Description: partial 16S ribosomal RNA
Rfam family: Bacterial small subunit ribosomal RNA
Source: RNAcentral
GACGAACGCUGGCGGCGCGCUUAACACAUGCAAGUCGAACGGAAAGGCCUGCUUUCCCUUGUGGAUUGCGGGUACUCGAGUGGCGAACGGGUGAGUAACACGUGAGUGAUCUGCCCCCAACUUGGGUAUAAGCCUGGGAAACUGGGUCUAAUUCCCGAUAGGACUGCAGGGUGGUGCCUGUGGUGGAAAACGAUUUUCUAGUGGUUGGGGAUGAGCUCGCGGCCUAUCAGCUUGUUGGUGGGGUAAUGGCCUACCAAGGCGGCGACGGGUAGCCGGCCUGGGAGGGUGGGCGGGCACAUUGGGACUGAGAUACGGCCCAGACUCCUACGGGAGGAAGCAGAGGGGAAUAAUGCACAAUGGGCGGAAGCCUGAUGCAGCGAGGCCGCGUGGGGGAUGACGGGCUUCGGGUUGUAAACUCCUUUCGACCGCGAGGAAGCCACCUGGUUGGAAGGGUGGUGACGGUAGUGGUAGAAGAAGCACCGGCUAACUACGUG